This 283-nucleotide non-coding RNA is filed under the name Beta vulgaris subsp. vulgaris (sugar beet). RNAcentral's name for it is "Bacterial small subunit ribosomal RNA". It matches the Rfam family "Bacterial small subunit ribosomal RNA", at positions 1 to 312 of the family's 1533-position model. The record is from Rfam by way of RNAcentral. Lineage: Eukaryota; Viridiplantae; Streptophyta; Magnoliopsida; Caryophyllales; Amaranthaceae.
CAACUUGAGAGUUUGAUCCUGGCUCAGAACGAACGCUGGCGGCAUGCCUAACACAUGCAAGUCGAACGAGAUCUUCGGAUCUAGUGGCGCACGGGUGCGUAACGCGUGGGAAUCUGCCCUUGGGUUCGGAAUAACAGUGAGAAAUUACUGCUAAUACCGGAUGAUGUCUUCGGACCAAAGAUUUAUCGCCCAGGGAUGAGCCCGCGUAGGAUUAGGUAGUUGGUGGGGUAAUGGCCUACCAAGCCGACGAUCCUUAGCUGGUCUGAGAGGAUGAUCAGCCACA